AGAGUUUGAUUAUGGCUCAGGAUGAACGCUAGCUACAGGCUUAACACAUGCAAGUCGAGGGCAGCAGGGAGAAAGCUUGCUUCUUGCUGGCGACCGGCGCACGGGUGAGUAACGCGUAUCCAACCUUCCCCUUAGUAGGGCAUAGCCCGGCGAAAGUCGGAUUAAUACCCUAUGUUAUCCGAAGAGGACAUCUGAAUUGGAUUAAAGAUUUAUCGCUAAGGGAUGGGGAUGCGUCUGAUUAGGUAGUCGGCGGGGUAACGGCCCACCGAGCCUACGAUCAGUAGGGGUUCUGAGAGGAAGGUCCCCCACAUUGGUACUGAGACACGGACCAAACUCCUACGGGAGGCAGCAGUGAGGAAUAUUGGUCAAAGGGCGUAAGCCUGAACCAGCCAAGUAGCGUGCAGGAUGACGGCCCUAUGGGUUGUAAACUGCUUUUAUGCGGGGAUAAAGUGCGGCACGUGUGCCGUUUUGUAGGUACCGCAUGAAUAAGGACCGGCUAAUUCCGUGCCAGCCGCCGC
This 518-nucleotide ribosomal RNA is filed under the name uncultured bacterium. Its description in RNAcentral is "bacterial SSU rRNA". It matches the Rfam family "Bacterial small subunit ribosomal RNA", at positions 8 to 518 of the family's 1533-position model. The record is from RNAcentral.